RNAcentral lists this ribosomal RNA (252 nucleotides) under uncultured bacterium. RNAcentral's name for it is "partial 16S ribosomal RNA". It matches the Rfam family "Bacterial small subunit ribosomal RNA", at positions 524 to 776 of the family's 1533-position model. The record is from RNAcentral.
UACGUAGGUCCCGAGCGUUGUCCGGAUUUAUUGGGCGUAAAGCGAGCGCAGGUGGUUUAUUAAGUCUGGUGUAAAAGGCAGUGGCUCAACCAUUGUAUGCAUUGGAAACUGGUAGACUUGAGUGCAGGAGAGGAGAGUGGAAUUCCAUGUGUAGCGGUGAAAUGCGUAGAUAUAUGGAGGAACACCGGUGGCGAAAGCGGCUCUCUGGCCUGUAACUGACACUGAGGCUCGACAGCGUGGGGAGCAAACAGG